Molecule: non-coding RNA, 155 nt
Organism: Phyllostomus discolor (pale spear-nosed bat)
Lineage: Eukaryota; Metazoa; Chordata; Mammalia; Chiroptera; Phyllostomidae
Product: small Cajal body-specific RNA 1
Exons: 1
Source: RefSeq, a predicted model, not a curated record
CAGCACUCGCCACAGACCGAGCUGUUGACAGCCUGGCCUCGGAUCAGAGGCCUAUGUGUGUUGUGACAGUGGGUUCGAGACAGGCAAUAUUGAAACAAGUCUUUUAAGCCUAGCGUGUAAAAGGCACACUUGCAUUACAAUUCAGUGACACAGUU